RNAcentral lists this ribosomal RNA (935 nucleotides) under Staphylococcus hominis. Its description in RNAcentral is "bacterial SSU rRNA". It matches the Rfam family "Bacterial small subunit ribosomal RNA", at positions 23 to 937 of the family's 1533-position model. The record is from RNAcentral. Lineage: Bacteria; Bacillati; Bacillota; Bacilli; Caryophanales; Staphylococcaceae.
CUCAGGAUGAACGCUGGCGGCGUGCUAAUACAUGCAAGUCGAGCGAACAGACGAGGGAGCUUGCUCCUUUGACGUUAGCGGCGGACGGGUGAGUAACACGUAGGUAACCUACCUAUAAGACUGGGAUAACUUCGGGAAAACCGGAGCUAAUACCGGAUAAUAUUUCGAACCGCAUGGUUCGAUAGUGAAAGAUGGCUUUGCUAUCACUUAUAGAUGGACCUGCGCCGUAUUAGCUAGUUGGUAAGGUAACGGCUUACCAAGGCAACGAUACGUAGCCGACCUGAGAGGGUGAUCGGCCACACUGGAACUGAGACACGGUCCAGACUCCUACGGGAGGCAGCAGUAGGGAAUCUUCCGCAAUGGGCGAAAGCCUGACGGAGCAACGCCGCGUGAGUGAUGAAGGUCUUCGGAUCGUAAAACUCUGUUAUUAGGGAAGAACAAACGUGUAAGUAACUGUGCACGUCUUGACGGUACCUAAUCAGAAAGCCACGGCUAACUACGUGCCAGCAGCCGCGGUAAUACGUAGGUGGCAAGCGUUAUCCGGAAUUAUUGGGCGUAAAGCGCGCGUAGGCGGUUUUUUAAGUCUGAUGUGAAAGCCCACGGCUCAACCGUGGAGGGUCAUUGGAAACUGGAAAACUUGAGUGCAGAAGAGGAAAGUGGAAUUCCAUGUGUAGCGGUGAAAUGCGCAGAGAUAUGGAGGAACACCAGUGGCGAAGGCGACUUUCUGGUCUGUAACUGACGCUGAUGUGCGAAAGCGUGGGGAUCAAACAGGAUUAGAUACCCUGGUAGUCCACGCCGUAAACGAUGAGUGCUAAGUGUUAGGGGGUUUCCGCCCCUUUAGUGCUGCAGCUAACGCAUUAAGCACUCCGCCUGGGGAGUACGACCGCAAGGUUGAAACUCAAAGGAAUUGACGGGGACCCGCACAAGCGGUGGAG